RNAcentral lists this unclassified non-coding RNA (262 nucleotides) under air metagenome. Its description in RNAcentral is "partial contains small subunit ribosomal RNA, internal transcribed spacer 1, and 5.8S ribosomal RNA". The stretch from base 1 to 46 matches the Rfam family "Eukaryotic small subunit ribosomal RNA", at positions 1786 to 1831 of the family's 1831-position model. The record is from RNAcentral.
AAGUCGUAACAAGGUUUCCGUAGGUGAACCUGCGGAAGGAUCAUUACCGAGAGACGGGGUCUAACCGGCCCCACUCUUCACCCGUGUAUACCUACCAUGUUGCUUUGGCGGGCCCCAGGGCUCAUGGCCCUGCGCUGGUCGGAGGCCAUCUGUGUCUCUUCCCGGCGAGCGCUCGCCGAAGGCCCUGCAAACUCCUGUUUUAGUGUCGUCCGAGUAAAAACCUAAUAGUUAAAAACUUUCAACAACGGAUCUCUUGGUUCUG